CUGGACAAGCUGAGAGCCUCUUGUGAGAUAUUAUCCCUUCCUUUGGUCGCUUAAAUUGAUUAUUCAUGCAGUAUUUGCUUGAAAGUGGUGUGGAGUAUUAAGUUGAUAUGUGCCAGUGUGAUGAGAAUCACGGUCCUCAUCCCACAUAAACAUAAUUAAUAAAUAUUUUGAAUUGAGCGAUCAAUAAUCUCAAAAUUUGAAGUUAAAUUAAGAGAAAAAAAUGUAAAUAUUAGUUAGAUAUCAUAGAAAGAUUAAAAAUCAUGAUCUGUUUUGAUACCAUCAAAAAUAUUUUGAAUUAGGUAACCAAUAGUCCUAAAAGCUUAAUGUGGAUCAUGUUUUUUUUCUUUUGUUUUGUUUUCAGGUAAGAUGAAUAUUAGUUACCUCCCAACUAGAAUCUCUCUGUCUGCACAUUUGUUUACCACUGUGAGCCCAAGUUGAGGUAGAAGCAUAUUGAAUAGAUAAGGAAUGGUUGGUUAGGUCAGAAAAAGAACAAAGAGAAGGACGUGGGGAUGGAUGCAGUGAUAAUUUGAUGAUGCAUGAAUAUAUUUUUUACACACUGGAAAAACUAUUUUCUUAACUAAAGAUAUAUGAUAUUUCUAAAGCAUUAUUUUUCAUUCCUUUUAAAGAAUGUUUGCAUUCUGUUUUUUGGGUUUCUAUCACUGCUCCUUCUGUGGCAAUUGUUGUUGUUUAUCAAUCUUAAUUUUCUUGAAUUUAAUUGGAUCAGAUGUAAUCCUUCUAAAAGUUCUUACACCAUCAAUUUAUACAAGAUGCAGUUUCUUGAUUCACCCCAUAAAUUAAUCCUCCAAUGAUUCUGUUUGGUGAUAUGUUGCUUUCGUUCUCCCUCAAUAAUACAGUUAGACAUGCUGCCCUGUCAAGAUGUUGAUCAUCAACCACGCAUGCAGAGUUCGGUGAUCUGUUGCUUUCACUCUUCUGCAAUAAAUAGAGUCGCAUGUUUCCAUAGCAUGCGUGAAGGCAAUGGGCGCUACUGAGAUGGUGAGAGUCCACUGCUUCUUGUGCAUGACCCUCCUCAUUCUACUCUCUUCUGCUGCUGCUGCAGGUACUAUGGAUGUGGGUUAUGUCCAGCCAUCUAACUCCACCAUGUUCCACGGCAUCGCUGGUGGCAUCAAGUGGUUGGAAACAGAGAUGGUGACGAGUUCGUGUGGUUCAAAUCAGCACAUAGGCUACUGUGCCGUGGCGAAAUCCGGCCAACCGGCGGUCCGCCCUGCCGCCAGUGGGAGGCCUUACACCAAUGGGUGUCUGAGUUAUAAUCAUUGCAGGAAUCAAUAGCCACCCUUUAAAGUCUCUUCGUUUCCAUAGGAGUAUCAUGAUCCAUAGGAGUAUCAUGAUCGAUGUGUCGUCGCAGAACCUACUUUGCUUGUAUGACUUGAUGAUGGUAUCAUUUGGCUUGCUUAUCUUUUUCCUGUGUUUGUUGUUUCACUUCUCUGCGUGGAAAACAUAAACGUUUCGAUUUAUGAAACUCAAUUGUUCUUUUUCGACUGACUGUAUGUAUCAGAGAACAUUAUUAAUGUCGAUCAUAACCCUGAAUAAAAAAAUGAAAUAUUGCGU
Molecule: long non-coding RNA, 1566 nt
Filed under: Musa acuminata (dwarf banana)
Lineage: Eukaryota; Viridiplantae; Streptophyta; Magnoliopsida; Zingiberales; Musaceae
Description: long non-coding RNA (MACU_LNC011812)
Source: RNAcentral